Molecule: ribosomal RNA, 486 nt
Filed under: uncultured bacterium
Lineage: Bacteria
Description: partial 16S ribosomal RNA
Rfam family: Bacterial small subunit ribosomal RNA
Source: RNAcentral
AUUGAACGCUGGCGGCAUGCCUUACACAUGCAAGUCGAACGGCAGCACGGGUGCUUGCACCUGGAGGCGAGUGGCGAACGGGUGAGUAAUACAUCGGAACAUGUCCUGUAGUGGGGGAUAGCCCGGCGAAAGCCGGAUUAAUACCGCAUACGAUCCACGGAUGAAAGCGGGGGACCUUCGGGCCUCGCGCUAUAGGGUUGGCCGAUGGCUGAUUAGCUAGUUGGUGGGGUAAAGGCCUACCAAGGCGACGAUCAGUAGCUGGUCUGAGAGGACGACCAGCCACACUGGGACUGAGACACGGCCCAGACUCCUACGGGAGGCAGCAGUGGGGAAUUUUGGACAAUGGGCGAAAGCCUGAUCCAGCAAUGCCGCGUGUGUGAAGAAGGCCUUCGGGUUGUAAAGCACUUUUGUCCGGAAAGAAAUCCUUGACUCUAAUACAGUCGGGGGAUGACGGUACCGGAAGAAUAAGCACCGGCUAACUACGUG